CCUACGGGUGGCAGCAGUGAGGAAUAUUGGUCAAUGGACGAGCGUCUGAACCAGCCAAGUAGCGUGAAGGAUGACUGCCCUAUGGGUUGUAAACCUCUUUUAUAUGGGAAUAAAACGUUCCACGUGUGGGAUUUUGUAUAUACCAUAUGAAUAAGGAUCGGCUAACUCCGUGCCCGCAGCCGCGGUAAUUCGGAGGAACGCAGCGUUUUCCGGAUUUAUUGGGUUUAAAGGGAGCGUAGGUGGAUUGUUAAGUCAGUUGUGAAAGUUUGCGGGUCAACCGUAGAAUUGCAGUUGAAACUGGCAGUCUUGAGUACAGUAGAGGUAGGCGGAAUUCGUGGUGUAGCGGUGAAAUGCUUAGAUAUCACGAAGAACUCCGAUUGCGAAGGCAGUUCACUGGACUGCAACUGACACUGAGGCUCGAAAGUGUGGGUAUCAAACAGGAUUAGAUACCCGAGUAGUC
Molecule: ribosomal RNA, 460 nt
Filed under: uncultured bacterium
Lineage: Bacteria
Description: partial 16S ribosomal RNA
Rfam family: Bacterial small subunit ribosomal RNA
Source: RNAcentral